GAGGAAUUGAAGCUAACUAUCUGCAUGUUCAUCUUUCUCUAAUCAUCUUAGCAUUCUAAACAUGAGGCAUAAGGAUCAUGUGGAAAUGGACUCAAGCAAGAAAGGCAAAAGGGUAAAAAGGAGGCAAGGGAACGGACGCAAAAAGGUUGUACGAAUCACGGGCGGUUAUCACGAGGAAUA
Helianthus annuus (common sunflower) is the source of this 180-nucleotide long non-coding RNA. RefSeq lists it as uncharacterized. The record is from RefSeq and is a predicted model, not a curated record. The transcript is spliced from 3 exons. Lineage: Eukaryota; Viridiplantae; Streptophyta; Magnoliopsida; Asterales; Asteraceae.